UUUGAGGAUGGGUAGGAAUAUAGUUAUGUAAUGUAAUUACUCUCUUUUUUAUUCUUUUUUUUUCUUAAUUACCUUUUGAUUUUUGUGUUUGAAGUGGAUGAUAUCUCUCCAAAAAAUGUCAGAACUCCCUCUCGUUUUCUUCUUCAGUUCUGAAACUGAAACUUUUCUUUUAUAGGCACCAAGGUUGGAGGUAGCUCAAUA
RNAcentral lists this long non-coding RNA (201 nucleotides) under Linum usitatissimum (flax). RNAcentral's name for it is "long non-coding RNA (LUSI_LNC006299)". The record is from RNAcentral. Lineage: Eukaryota; Viridiplantae; Streptophyta; Magnoliopsida; Malpighiales; Linaceae.